Molecule: non-coding RNA, 344 nt
Organism: Gorilla gorilla gorilla (western lowland gorilla)
Lineage: Eukaryota; Metazoa; Chordata; Mammalia; Primates; Hominidae
Rfam family: Metazoan signal recognition particle RNA
About the family: The signal recognition particle (SRP) is a universally conserved ribonucleoprotein. It is involved in the co-translational targeting of proteins to membranes.
Source: Rfam
GCUGGGCACGGUGGUGGCACAUGCCUGUAGUUCUAUUAUACAGCACUGCUUUAAACAAUAUAUUUUUUAACUCAGGAGUUUUACUACUCAGGAGGCUGAGGCAGGAGGAUUGCUUGAGCCCAGGAGUUCUGGACUGUAGUAUGCUAUGUCAACUGGUCAACUAAGUUUGGCAUCAAUAUGGUGACCUUCGGGUAGUGGGGAACCACCAGGUUGCCUAAGGAGGGGUAACUGGCCCAGACUGGAAAUGGAGUUGAUCAAAAUUCCUGUGUUGAUUGGUAGUGAGAUCGUGCCUGUGAAUAGCCACAGCACUCCAGCCUGGGCAACAAAGCAAGACCCCAUCUCUC